This 609-nucleotide ribosomal RNA is filed under the name Staphylococcus aureus. RNAcentral's name for it is "partial 23S ribosomal RNA". It matches the Rfam family "Bacterial large subunit ribosomal RNA", at positions 1603 to 2213 of the family's 2925-position model. The record is from RNAcentral. Lineage: Bacteria; Bacillati; Bacillota; Bacilli; Caryophanales; Staphylococcaceae.
CACUGCCGAGAAAAGCCUCUAGAUAGAAAAUAGGUGCCCGUACCGCAAACCGACACAGGUAGUCAAGAUGAGAAUUCUAAGGUGAGCGAGCGAACUCUCGUUAAGGAACUCGGCAAAAUGACCCCGUAACUUCGGGAGAAGGGGUGCUCUUUAGGGUUAACGCCCAGAAGAGCCGCAGUGAAUAGGCCCAAGCGACUGUUUAUCAAAAACACAGGUCUCUGCUAAACCGUAAGGUGAUGUAUAGGGGCUGACGCCUGCCCGGUGCUGGAAGGUUAAGAGGAGUGGUUAGCUUCUGCGAAGCUACGAAUCGAAGCCCCAGUAAACGGCGGCCGUAACUAUAACGGUCCUAAGGUAGCGAAAUUCCUUGUCGGGUAAGUUCCGACCCGCACGAAAGGCGUAACGAUUUGGGCACUGUCUCAACGAGAGACUCGGUGAAAUCAUAGUACCUGUGAAGAUGCAGGUUACCCGCGACAGGACGGAAAGACCCCGUGGAGCUUUACUGUAGCCUGAUAUUGAAAUUCGGCACAGCUUGUACAGGAUAGGUAGGAGCCUUUGAAACGUGAGCGCUAGCUUACGUGGAGGCGCUGGUGGGAUACUACCCUAGCUGUG